GGAAGUAAAAUCGUAACAAGGUUUCCGUAGGUGAACCUGCGGAAGGAUCAUUAUUGUAUAACCGAGGUGCGAGGGCUGUCGCUGACCCGAAAGGUCGUGCACGCCCGAGUGCCCUCACACACAUCCAUCUCACCCCUAUGUGCACCACCGCGUGGGUCCCCCUUUGGCUUGUUCGGAGGGGGGCUUGCGUUUUCACACAAACUUUGUAUGCAGUGUAGAAUGUAUUUUUUGUUUUUGCGAUCACGCAAUCAAUACAACUUUCAACAACGGAUCUCUUGGCUCUC
RNAcentral lists this unclassified non-coding RNA (284 nucleotides) under plant metagenome. Its description in RNAcentral is "partial contains small subunit ribosomal RNA, internal transcribed spacer 1, and 5.8S ribosomal RNA". The stretch from base 1 to 53 matches the Rfam family "Eukaryotic small subunit ribosomal RNA", at positions 1778 to 1831 of the family's 1831-position model. The record is from RNAcentral.